CCCUUAGAUGUUCUGGGCCGCACGCGCGCUACACUGUUCGACGCAGCGAGUCUUAACCUUGACCGAAAGGUUUGGGUAAUCUUCAGCAAAGUCGAACGUGAUGGGGAUCGAUCAUUGCAAUUAUUGAUCGUGAACGAGGAAUUCCUAGUAAGUGCAAGUCAUCAGCUUGCGCUGAUUACGUCCCUGCCCUUUGUACACACCGCCCGUCGCUACUACCGAUUGAAUGGUUUAGUGAGAUCUCUGGAUUGACGCUGGCUAAGGGGCGACCCUUGGCCAGACUGUUGAGAAACUGCUCAAACUUGAUCAUUUAGAGGAAGUAAAAGUCGUAACA
RNAcentral lists this ribosomal RNA (331 nucleotides) under uncultured eukaryote. Its description in RNAcentral is "partial 18S ribosomal RNA". It matches the Rfam family "Eukaryotic small subunit ribosomal RNA", at positions 1470 to 1796 of the family's 1831-position model. The record is from RNAcentral.